CUCGGACCCGGAGAGGGCAGGGCAGGAAGGCCAUUGGGCAGGAAUGGUGGGCAGAGGCCGGUGGCCCAGGGCCUGGAGGCCAGCAUGGGUAGUGAGAGGCUGGGGAAGAAUUUAUGCAGAGGAGGGAUAUGGUCAGCAUCGUUUUUACCAAACUCUCCCCAGUGCCGUGAGGAGAACAGACUGGAGGAGUCCACAGUGGAGCUGCUGUGCCAGUGAGGACACUACUGCAGCCUUGGUUGGCAUUUACUGGACCCACGUGUUCCCGUGAAGAAAGUGGUUCCCACAAGUGUUAACGGAGCAGAAAAUUCCUCAGAGGUCGCACACAGAUGCUGCCUUUGGGUCUCUGCACUCUGUGAGCGGCACUUCUGAUGGUUGGACGUAUCCCAGCUAUUUCCAGGUUGUUAAUCCUUGAAAUGACCUCGUGUUUUCUGAGGACAAAACUCUAGAAGUGAGCUCUGCUCAAAGGCCUGCAGCAACUGUCCGUGUUCCCCGUCCCCCGUCUGUCCGUCCGUCGUCGCUCACCCCCACCUCCCCGGCACGGCCUGUGAAUGCCGGGCUCUCGGGCAUCCUUGCCAACACCCGGUACUAUCAUUAAAAGAGAAAAU
This 605-nucleotide long non-coding RNA is filed under the name Equus asinus (donkey). Its description in RNAcentral is "lncRNA (ENSEASG00005036102.1)". The record is from RNAcentral. Lineage: Eukaryota; Metazoa; Chordata; Mammalia; Perissodactyla; Equidae.